This 301-nucleotide ribosomal RNA is filed under the name uncultured bacterium. Its description in RNAcentral is "partial 16S ribosomal RNA". It matches the Rfam family "Bacterial small subunit ribosomal RNA", at positions 509 to 807 of the family's 1533-position model. The record is from RNAcentral.
CAGCAGCCGCGGGAAUACGAGGGGGGCAAGCGUUGUUCGGAAUUAUUGGGCGUAAAGGGCGCGUAGGCGGUUUGGCAAGUUUGGUGUGAAAUCUUCGGGCUCAACUCGAAGUCUGCACCGAAAACUGCCGGGCUUGAGUAUGGGAGAGGUGAGUGGAAUUUCCGGUGUAGCGGUGAAAUGCGUAGAUAUCGGAGGGAACACCUGUGGCGAAAGCGGCUCACUGGACCAUUACUGACGCUGAGGCGCGAAAGCUAGGGGAGCAAACAGGAUUAGAUACCCCUGUAGUCCCUGUCUCUUAUAC